This 466-nucleotide ribosomal RNA is filed under the name uncultured Desulfotomaculum sp. RNAcentral's name for it is "bacterial SSU rRNA". It matches the Rfam family "Bacterial small subunit ribosomal RNA", at positions 920 to 1382 of the family's 1533-position model. Lineage: Bacteria; Bacillati; Bacillota; Clostridia; Eubacteriales; Desulfotomaculaceae. The record is from RNAcentral.
CCCGCACAGCGGUGGAGCAUGUGGUUUAAUUCGACGCAACGCGAAGAACCUUACCGAGGCUUGACACUCCCUGACCGUCUAUGAAAGUAGGCUUUCUACCUUCGGGUAGACAGGGAGACAGGUGGUGCAUGGUUGUCGUCAGCUCGUGUCGUGAGAUGUUGGGUUAAGUCCCGCAACGAGCGCAACCCUUACGGUUAGUUGCCAGCGGGUUAUGCCGGGCACUCUAGCUGAACUGCCGUUGACAAAACGGAGGAAGGUGGGGAUGACGUCAAAUCAUCAUGCCCUUUAUGUCCUGGGCUACACACGUGCUACAAUGGCCUGUACAGAGGGAAGCGAAAGGGUGACCUGGAGCGAAUCCCAAAAAGCAGGUCUCAGUUCGGAUUGCAGGCUGCAACCCGCCUGCAUGAAGUCGGAAUCGCUAGUAAUCGCAGGUCAGCAUACUGUGGUGAAUACGUUCCCGGGCCUU